GAUAUAUCAAGAGUGGGCGAGAGAUCUGGCUCUACGAACCCACGGCAACCUGCAACAUGCAAGGUGCUCCGACCAGCAAAGCCGAUGCUUUGGAUGAUACUUA
RNAcentral lists this non-coding RNA (103 nucleotides) under Exiguobacterium oxidotolerans. RNAcentral's name for it is "SAM". It matches the Rfam family "SAM riboswitch aptamer (S box leader)". Rfam says of the family: The SAM riboswitch is found upstream of a number of genes which code for proteins involved in methionine or cysteine biosynthesis in Gram-positive bacteria. RNAcentral also lists the same sequence under 1 other name. Lineage: Bacteria; Bacillati; Bacillota; Bacilli; Caryophanales. The record is from RNAcentral.